AUGGCGACGCGGUACUGGAUCGCCGCCCUGCCCGUCGCCGACGACAACGUCGCCGCCGGCAAGACCGCCCUCUGGGCGCGCCUCCAGGACGCCAUCUCCCGCCACUCCUUCGACACCCCGCUCUACCGCUUCACCGUCCCGGAUCUCCGCCCCGGCACGCUCGACUCCCUGCUCGCCCUCAGCGACGACCUCGUCAAGUCCAACAUCUUCAUCGAGGGCGUCUCCCACAAGAUCCGCCGGCAGAUCGAGGACCUGGAGCGCGCCGGAGGGGUCGAGCCCGGCACCCUCACCGUCGACGGCGUCCCCGUCGACAGCUACCUCACCAGGUUCGUGUGGGACGAGGGCAAGUACCCCGUCAACGCCCCGCUCAAGGAGACCGUCGCCAGCAUCCAGUCCCAGGUCGCCAAGAUCGAGGACGACAUGAAGGUUAGAGUUGCUGAAUACGGUAAUGUUAAGAGCCAGCUUGGCGCAAUCAACAGGAAGCAAACUGGAAGUUUAGCAGUUCGUGACCUUUCCAACCUCAUAAAACCAGAGGAUAUGGUCACCUCGGAACAUCUAGUGACACUGCUUUCUAUUGUGCCAAAGUAUUCCCAAAAAGACUGGUUAUCAAGCUACGAGUCACUUGAUACGUUUGUGGUUCCGAGAUCGUCAAAAAAGCUUUACGAGGACAAUGAGUAUGCUCUCUACACUGUAACAUUAUUUGCCAAGGUUGUUGACAACUUUAAGGUCCAUGCUCGUGAGAAAGGUUUCCAGAUCCGUGACUUUGAGUAUAGUCCUGAAGCACAGGAGAGUCGGAAGCAAGAGCUAGAAAAGCUGCUGCAAGACCAGGAAGUUAUGAGGACCUCUCUAUUGCAAUGGUGCUAUGCAAGCUACAGUGAGGUAUUUAGCUCCUGGAUGCAUUUCUCUGCUGUUCGCGUCUUCGUAGAGAGUAUUCUGAGAUAUGGUCUGCCUGCACGGUUCCUGUCUGUUGUCCUAGCACCAUCUACAAAGAGCGAGAAGAAAGUAAGGAACAUCUUGGAAGGGCUAUGCGGCAACGCCAACAGCAGCUACUGGAGAUCCGAAGACGACGUGGGCAUGGCUGCUGGCCUGGGAGGCGAGGCAGAGUCCCACCCUUACGUCUCCUUCACCAUAAACUUUGUCUGA
This 1143-nucleotide ribosomal RNA is filed under the name Triticum aestivum (bread wheat). Its description in RNAcentral is "partial small subunit ribosomal RNA". Lineage: Eukaryota; Viridiplantae; Streptophyta; Magnoliopsida; Poales; Poaceae. The record is from RNAcentral.